AAGGGUAUAGCUCAGUGGUAGAGUGCAUGCUUAGAAUGCACAAGGUCCUGGGUUCAAUCCCCAGUACCUCCA
Molecule: transfer RNA, 72 nt
Filed under: Camelus bactrianus (Bactrian camel)
Lineage: Eukaryota; Metazoa; Chordata; Mammalia; Artiodactyla; Camelidae
Also listed under: 2 other names
Rfam family: tRNA
About the family: Transfer RNA (tRNA) molecules are approximately 80 nucleotides in length. Their secondary structure includes four short double-helical elements and three loops (D, anti-codon, and T loops). Further hydrogen bonds mediate the characteristic L-shaped molecular structure. tRNAs have two regions of fundamental functional importance: the anti-codon, which is responsible for specific mRNA codon recognition, and the 3' end, to which the tRNAs corresponding amino acid is attached (by aminoacyl-tRNA synthetases). tRNAs cope with the degeneracy of the genetic code in two manners: having more than one tRNA (with a specific anti-codon) for a particular amino acid; and 'wobble' base-pairing, i.e. permitting non-standard base-pairing at the 3rd anti-codon position.
Source: Rfam by way of RNAcentral